UGGGGAAUAUUGGACAAUGGGCGAAAGCCUGAUCCAGCCAUGCCGCGUGUGUGAAGAAGGUCUUCGGAUUGUAAAGCACUUUAAGUUGGGAGGAAGGGCAGUAAGCGAAUACCUUGCUGUUUUGACGUUACCGACAGAAUAAGCACCGGCUAACUCUGUGCCAGCAGCCGCGGUAAUACAGAGGGUGCAAGCGUUAAUCGGAAUUACUGGGCGUAAAGCGCGCGUAGGUGGUUCGUUAAGUUGAAUGUGAAAGCCCCGGGCUCAACCUUGGAACUGCAUCCAAAACUGGCGGGCUGGAGUAAGGCAGAGGGUGGUGGAAUUUCCUGGGUAGCGGUGAAAUGCGUAGAUAUAGGAAGGAACACCAGUGGCGAAGGCGGCCACCUGGGCUCAUACUGACACUGAGGUGCGAAAGCGUGGGGAGCAAACAGG
Molecule: ribosomal RNA, 429 nt
Filed under: Pseudomonadota bacterium
Lineage: Bacteria; Pseudomonadati; Pseudomonadota
Description: Proteobacteria bacterium partial 16S ribosomal RNA
Rfam family: Bacterial small subunit ribosomal RNA
Source: RNAcentral